Molecule: ribosomal RNA, 373 nt
Filed under: uncultured bacterium
Lineage: Bacteria
Description: bacterial SSU rRNA
Rfam family: Bacterial small subunit ribosomal RNA
Source: RNAcentral
UGGGGAAUAUUGCACAAUGGGGGAAACCCUGAUGCAGCCAUGCCGCGUGUGUGAAGAAGGCCUUCGGUUGUAAAGACACUUUGUCAUUCGAGGAAGACAGCGUAUAAAUAAAUAGCGCUAUUUGACGUUAGAGUGUGAAUAAGCACCGGCAAACUCCGUGCCAGCAGCCGCGGUAAUACGGAGGGUGCGAGCGUUAAUCGGAAUGACUGGGCGUAAAGGGCACGCAGGUGGCGAGAUAAGUUGGAUGUGAAAUUCCCGUGCUUAACAUGGGGACUGCAUCCAAAACUGUUGAACUGGAGUACUGUAGAGGGAGGUAGAAUUCCACGUGUAGCGGUGAAAUGCGUAGAGAUGCGGAAGAAUACCAGAGGCGAAG